GGUUUAUUCAUUUUUUGAUUGGUGUGAAACUAGGUUAAGAAUAUUAUCAUUAUUCAUGAGUUUUGGGUAUUGUCAAGACUAAUGAUAUUUUAAUUUAAUUUGUAACAGAUUGAAUUAUGUUACUUAGUGUUAGAUUGUACUAUUAUAAUGUUAUUGAUUUAUUCAAAUGGAAAAUGUGUCUCAUUGUACAAGGUGUUAAUGCCAAGUUUCUAUGUUAGUUUCACAUAUGUAAUAGAUGAGAAUUUUAGAAUCCUAAGAAUUUACCAAGUUCUCUUUUUUCUUGUUGUGCCUGAGCUAUCAUGGAAUGCAACCCUUAUCAAAGGAUGUAAUGACCAA
This 336-nucleotide unclassified non-coding RNA is filed under the name Hevea brasiliensis (rubber tree). The record is from RNAcentral. Lineage: Eukaryota; Viridiplantae; Streptophyta; Magnoliopsida; Malpighiales; Euphorbiaceae.